CAGCCGCCACGGUAAUACAGAGGGUGCGAGCGUUAAUCGGAUUUACUGGGCGUAAAGCGUGCGUAGGCGGCUUCUUAAGUCGGAUGUGAAAUCCCUGAGCUUAACUUAGGAAUUGCAUUCGAUACUGGGAAGCUAAAGUAUGGGAGAGGAUGGUAGAAUUCCAGGUGUAGCGGUGAAAUGCGUAGAGAUCUGGAGGAAUACCGAUGGCGAAGGCAGCCAUCUGGCCUAAUACUGACGCUGAGGUACGAAAGCAUGGGGAGCAAACAGGAUUAGAUACCCCCGUAGUCCCUGUCUCUUAUAC
This 301-nucleotide ribosomal RNA is filed under the name uncultured bacterium. Its description in RNAcentral is "partial 16S ribosomal RNA". It matches the Rfam family "Bacterial small subunit ribosomal RNA", at positions 509 to 807 of the family's 1533-position model. The record is from RNAcentral.